UGAAAUCACCUCCUCCUCCAUACUCCUACCACUCACCACCUCCUCCUGUAAAAUCACCACCUCCUCCAUAUUACUACCAUUCACCUCCUCCACCAGUGAAAUCACCUCCUCCCCCAGUUUACAUUUAUGCCUCACCACCACCACCAACUCACUACUAGGCUCAGAAAGCUCAAUCAUAUACCAAAAUCGAUCAUGUAAGUUUUUUUUAACAUUUUGAUCAUUAUUUUCCAAAUUUUGUUAUUAUUAAUAAGACGAAUAAUUUUGAAGUAUAUAUGUAAUCUAACUUUCUGCCAUUUCCAUGCAGCAGAUUUUGGUGUCAGCAAUGUAAUAAAGGAAGGCUCCAAGAGGAAAACAUGUGGAUAUCAAGCUUCUAAUCCAAGACCAUUCAAUAAGGAUAUGAAUUUUGCACCAGUGAGCUGCAAUUUGAAUAAAUCAAGCCAGAAAGCUCCGAUUUCAAAGAUCGCCAUUUUGCAUCUCAUGCUCAUACUAUGUUCUAGUAAAAUUGGCAUCAAAGGUUUACUUCUGCAAAGGAAAAAAAAAAAAGGAAGUGAAAUUAGAGAUGGGGACUUGGAUUUGGAAGUAGCCGUUUCAGUUUGGUUUUUAUUUAUUAAUAUCUAAUUUAUUAUUGUAUGUAUAGCGUGCAGCCUUUGUUGUUUUCAUUGGGCUUCUCUCUAUUUAUUGUGAACAAUUCUUUCUUGGACCUUUUUGUGCUUUGUGCGCUGAGAUUGUUAGCAAUAAAACAACACAAUUUUCUCGCAAAUUUUAUUUGUCUCUCUCUCCUAGUUGUAUGUUCUUGCAACUCUUCAAUACUGCAAAAGUUUACCUCCCUUUUGCCUCUUGCCAAUUGUGUUGGAAUGCCAUAGGUGACCUAGAGCGAGAAAGGAGACUUCAAUAUGAGACUUUCAUCAUCAAAAUAGAAUUUAAGUCUUUCAUUAUCAAAAGGGAGAUUUUCCCUUGUUUGAUGAAAGUUGUCACAUUUCAUCACACUAUCUCCUGGUUGCAAAUGUACUAAAAUUGUGAAGAAUAAAAUAAAAUGUCAUGCUACUAUA
RNAcentral lists this unclassified non-coding RNA (1049 nucleotides) under Hevea brasiliensis (rubber tree). Lineage: Eukaryota; Viridiplantae; Streptophyta; Magnoliopsida; Malpighiales; Euphorbiaceae. The record is from RNAcentral.